RNAcentral lists this ribosomal RNA (294 nucleotides) under uncultured bacterium. Its description in RNAcentral is "partial 16S ribosomal RNA". It matches the Rfam family "Bacterial small subunit ribosomal RNA", at positions 505 to 796 of the family's 1533-position model. The record is from RNAcentral.
GUGCCAGCCGCCGCGGUAAUACAGAGGGUGCGAGCGUUGUUCGGAAUUACUGGGCGUAAAGCGCGCGUAGGUGGUGUGUUAAGUCUACUCGUGAAAUGCUGGGGCUCAACCCCAAGCGCUGCGGGGGAUACUGGCACGCUGGAGACACGUAGAGGCAAGCGGAAUUCCGGGUGUAGCGGUGGAAUGCGUAGAGAUCCGGAAGAACACCGGAGGCGAAGGCGGCUUGCUGGGCGUGAUCUGACGCUGAGGCGCGAAAGCGUGGGGAGCAAACAGGAUUAGAUACCCUGGUAGUCC